GCGUUGGCCCGUCUGCCGAAAGAGACCUAUAUUUUGCAAAGAGGAUUCCACGAGAAGCCAAUGCCGCAAUGGAGCCCUUCAUCAUAAAUGAGGCCAUGAACGGUCACGGACGCAUGGAUGUAAUUAAUUAAUUAAUUAAUUAAUUAAUUAAUUAAUUUUAGUUGCACGCUACCAUAAUUGGGUCCUGUUUGGUUCCAUGGGCUAAUGUUU
Molecule: unclassified non-coding RNA, 210 nt
Filed under: Oryza sativa (Asian cultivated rice)
Lineage: Eukaryota; Viridiplantae; Streptophyta; Magnoliopsida; Poales; Poaceae
Description: partial microRNA MIR475a precursor
Source: RNAcentral